GCUCUUCCGGUCUGGCGGCUCUGGGAAGGGAGGCGGACUUUUACUUUUCCCUUAACAUCUUCAAAGUUUUUUAACUUUGUCAUGAAGUGUAUUACUUUUAUU
Molecule: non-coding RNA, 102 nt
Organism: Vicugna pacos (alpaca)
Lineage: Eukaryota; Metazoa; Chordata; Mammalia; Artiodactyla; Camelidae
Source: RefSeq, a predicted model, not a curated record